CAAUAGCGUAUAUCUAAGUUGCUGCAGUUAAAAAGCUCGUAGUUGGAUUUCGGGUGGGAAUGGCCGGUCCGCCGUUUCGGUGUGCACUUGCUACGCCCACCUUGCUGCCGGGGACAUGCUCUUGAGUUCACGCUCGGGACACGGAGUCGGCGAGGUUACUUUGAGUAAAUUAGAGUGUUCAAAGCAGGCCUACGCUCUGAAUACAUUAGCAUGGAAUAACACGAUAGGACUCUGGCCUAUCUUGUUGGUCUGUAGGACCGGAGUAAUGAUUAAGAGGGACAGUCGGGGGCAUUCGUAUUUCAUUGUCAGAGGUGAAAUUCUUGGAUUUAUGAAAGACGAACUACUGCGAAAGCAUUUGCCAAGGAUGUUUUCAUUAA
This 377-nucleotide ribosomal RNA is filed under the name uncultured eukaryote. RNAcentral's name for it is "partial 18S ribosomal RNA". It matches the Rfam family "Eukaryotic small subunit ribosomal RNA", at positions 592 to 976 of the family's 1831-position model. The record is from RNAcentral.